GUGCUCACUUCUGCAAGACAUAUACUAAAAUUGGAAUGAUACAAAGAAUAGCAUUGUCCCUAUGCAAGGAUGACAUGCAAAUUCAUAAAGUGUUCCAUAUUUUU
Small nuclear RNA from Vulpes vulpes (red fox), 104 nucleotides. The record is from Ensembl. NCBI's taxonomy places the organism in Eukaryota, Metazoa, Chordata, Mammalia, Carnivora, Canidae.